RNAcentral lists this ribosomal RNA (3013 nucleotides) under Staphylococcus aureus. RNAcentral's name for it is "23S ribosomal RNA". It matches the Rfam family "Bacterial large subunit ribosomal RNA". Lineage: Bacteria; Bacillati; Bacillota; Bacilli; Caryophanales; Staphylococcaceae. RNAcentral also lists the same sequence under 3 other names. The record is from RNAcentral.
GGGUUGUGAGGUUAAGCGACUAAGCGUACACGGUGGAUGCCCUGGCAGUCAGAGGCGAUGAAGGACGUGCUAAUCUGCGAUAAGCGCCGGUAAGGUGAUAUGAACCGUUAUAACCGGCGAUUUCCGAAUGGGGAAACCCAGUGUGAUUCGUCACACUAUCAUUAACUGAAUCCAUAGGUUAAUGAGGCGAACCGGGGGAACUGAAACAUCUAAGUACCCCGAGGAAAAGAAAUCAACCGAGAUUCCCCCAGUAGCGGCGAGCGAACGGGGAGGAGCCCAGAGCCUGAAUCAGCAUGUGUGUUAGUGGAAGCGUCUGGAAAGGCGCGCGAUACAGGGUGACAGCCCCGUACACAAAAGCGCAUGUGCUGUGAGCUCGAUGAGUAGGGCGGGACACGUGGUAUCCUGUCUGAAUAUGGGGGGACCAUCCUCCAAGGCUAAAUACUCCUGACUGACCGAUAGUGAACCAGUACCGUGAGGGAAAGGCGAAAAGAACCCCGGCGAGGGGAGUGAAAAAGAACCUGAAACCGUGUACGUACAAGCAGUGGGAGCACAGGUUUACCUGUGUGACUGCGUACCUUUUGUAUAAUGGGUCAGCGACUUAUAUUCUGUAGCAAGGUUAACCGUAUAGGGGAGCCGGAGGGAAACCGAGUCUUAAUUGGGCGUUAAGUUGCAGGGUAUAGACCCGAAACCCGGUGAUCUAGCCAUGGGCAGGUUGAAGGUUGGGUAACACUAACUGGAGGACCGAACCGACUAAUGUUGAAAAAUUAGCGGAUGACCUGUGGCUGGGGGUGAAAGGCCAAUCAAACCGGGAGAUAGCUGGUUCUCCCCGAAAGCUAUUUAGGUAGCGCCUCGUGAAUUCAUCUCCGGGGGUAGAGCACUGUUUCGGCUAGGGGGCCAUCCCGGCUUACCAACCCGAUGCAAACUGCGAAUACCGGAGAAUGUUAUCACGGGAGACACACGGCGGGUGCUAACGUCCGUCGUGAAGAGGGAAACAACCCAGACCGCCAGCUAAGGUCCCAAAGUCAUGGUUAAGUGGGAAACGAUGUGGGAAGGCCCAGACAGCCAGGAUGUUGGCUUAGAAGCAGCCAUCAUUUAAAGAAAGCGUAAUAGCUCACUGGUCGAGUCGGCCUGCGCGGAAGAUGUAACGGGGCUAAACCAUGCACCGAAGCUGCGGCAGCGAACGUAUCACCCAAGACAACUUUACGGAGUUGACGAUUGACGGAGCGAAGCGACGUCAAAGCGUUCAUUAAAGUCGAGUUGGCUUAGGGAUACGUUCGUUGGGUAGGGGAGCGUUCUGUAAGCCUGUGAAGGUGUGUCGUGAGGCAUGCUGGAGGUAUCAGAAGUGCGAAUGCUGACAUAAGUAACGAUAAAGCGGGUGAAAAGCCCGCUCGCCGGAAGACCAAGGGUUCCUGUCCAACGUUAAUCGGGGCAGGGUGAGUCGACCCCUAAGGCGAGGCCGAAAGGCGUAGUCGAUGGGAAACGGGUUAAUAUUCCCGUACUUGGUGUUACUGCGAAGGGGGGACGGAGAAGGCUAUGUUGGCCGGGCGACGGUUGUCCCGGUUUAAGCGUGUAGGUGUGUGUUCCAGGUAAAUCCGGUUCACUUUAACACUGAGGCGUGACGACGAGGCACUACGGUGCUGAAGCAACAAAUGCCCUGCUUCCAGGAAAAGCCUCUAAGCAUCAGGUAACACGAAAUCGUACCCCAAACCGACACAGGUGGUCAGGUAGAGAAUACCAAGGCGCUUGAGAGAACUCGGGUGAAGGAACUAGGCAAAAUGGUGCCGUAACUUCGGGAGAAGGCACGCUGACACGUAGGUGAAGUGAUUUACUCAUGGAGCUGAAGUCAGUCGAAGAUACCAGCUGGCUGCAACUGUUUAUUAAAAACACAGCACUGUGCAAACACGAAAGUGGACGUAUACGGUGUGACGCCUGCCCGGUGCCGGAAGGUUAAUUGAUGGGGUCAGCGCAAGCGAAGCUCCUGAUCGAAGCCCCGGUAAACGGCGGCCGUAACUAUAACGGUCCUAAGGUAGCGAAAUUCCUUGUCGGGUAAGUUCCGACCUGCACGAAUGGCGUAAUGAUGGCCAGGCUGUCUCCACCCGAGACUCAGUGAAAUUGAACUCGCUGUGAAGAUGCAGUGUACCCGCGGCAAGACGGAAAGACCCCGUGAACCUUUACUAUAGCUUGACACUGAACAUUGAGCCUUGAUGUGUAGGAUAGGUGGGAGGCUUUGAAGUGUGGACGCCAGUCUGCAUGGAGCCGACCUUGAAAUACCACCCUUUAAUGUUUGAUGUUCUAACGUGGACCCGUAAUCCGGGUUGCGGACAGUGUCUGGUGGGUAGUUUGACUGGGGCGGUCUCCUCCUAAAGAGUAACGGAGGAGCACGAAGGUUGGCUAAUCCUGGUCGGACAUCAGGAGGUUAGUGCAAUGGCAUAAGCCAGCUUGACUGCGAGCGUGACGGCGCGAGCAGGUGCGAAAGCAGGUCAUAGUGAUCCGGUGGUUCUGAAUGGAAGGGCCAUCGCUCAACGGAUAAAAGGUACUCCGGGGAUAACAGGCUGAUACCGCCCAAGAGUUCAUAUCGACGGCGGUGUUUGGCACCUCGAUGUCGGCUCAUCACAUCCUGGGGCUGAAGUAGGUCCCAAGGGUAUGGCUGUUCGCCAUUUAAAGUGGUACGCGAGCUGGGUUUAGAACGUCGUGAGACAGUUCGGUCCCUAUCUGCCGUGGGCGCUGGAGAACUGAGGGGGGCUGCUCCUAGUACGAGAGGACCGGAGUGGACGCAUCACUGGUGUUCGGGUUGUCAUGCCAAUGGCACUGCCCGGUAGCUAAAUGCGGAAGAGAUAAGUGCUGAAAGCAUCUAAGCACGAAACUUGCCCCGAGAUGAGUUCUCCCUGAGACUUAGAGUCUCCUGAAGGAACGUUGAAGACGACGACGUUGAUAGGCCGGGUGUGUAAGCGCAGCGAUGCGUUGAGCUAACCGGUACUAAUGAACCGUGAGGCUUAACCUUACAACGCCGAAG